UUGCAGGUUUUUAAUUAGAUGGUACUCAUCUUCCACUAAUUUAAAGGUAGAUCUAUUAUUUUUAGAUAUGUAUUUUUGUGUGUUCUAUAAAGGUAGAUUUAUCUAAUCUUCCAUUCAUUUUUUCUGUUUUUAAGCCAUUUGAACGUUUUUGAAUAUGCAGGUUUUUCAGAUCUGGAUAUAAUAUGCAGGUUUUUCAGAUCUGGAAGACUUUUGGGACGACUUACUUGUUAGUCGUCUGGAAGUCGUCUGGAAGUCGUCUGGACUUCCUAAAAGUCGUC
Molecule: long non-coding RNA, 278 nt
Filed under: Brassica rapa (field mustard)
Lineage: Eukaryota; Viridiplantae; Streptophyta; Magnoliopsida; Brassicales; Brassicaceae
Description: long non-coding RNA (BRAP_LNC002185)
Source: RNAcentral